RNAcentral lists this ribosomal RNA (422 nucleotides) under uncultured bacterium. Its description in RNAcentral is "partial 16S ribosomal RNA". It matches the Rfam family "Bacterial small subunit ribosomal RNA", at positions 361 to 776 of the family's 1533-position model. The record is from RNAcentral.
AUUUUGGACAAUGGGGGAAACCCUGAUCCAGUCAUCUCGCGUGUAUGAUGAAGGCAUUCGGUUUGUAAAGUAAUUUUGGCCGAGAAGAAAAGGUAUCCCCUAAUACGGGAUACUGCUGACUGUAUCUGCAGAAUAAGCGCUGACGAACUACGUGCAAGCAGCCGCGGUAAUACGUAGGGUGCAAGCGUUAAUCGGAAUUACUGGGCGUAAAGCGUGUGUAGGCGGUUCGGAAAGAAAGAUGUGAAAUGCAGGGCUCAACCUUGGAACUGCAUUUUUAACUGCCGAGCUAGAGUAUGUCAGAGGGGGGUAGAAUUCCACGUGUAGCAGUGAAAUGCGUAGAUAUGUGGAGGAAUACCGAUGGCGAAGGCAGCCCCCUGGGAUAAUACUGACGCUCAGACACGAAAGCGUGGGUAGCAAACAGG